GAAAUUAUUAAAUUAAGAUCAAAUCAAAUGUAUAAUCAAAUUCUGGAAGAAGCUAAGUCUUUAACAAGCAAUGACUGCGGCGAAUCUGAAAAUAGGACACAGACCUCGAAGAGGCAAGUAAAAAAACCAAAUCGGAUGGAUGACUAUUUGACGUACACCCCCUGUUCCUCCGCCAGACAAAAUAUAGAUGAGAACGACGAGCCAUUUAAGUCUGAGUAUUUCGAAACGUUGGACAUUUUAAUUGCUGAAUUACAAAGAAGGUUUUCGGACAACGAUGAUUUAAUUAAUUCGAUUGCAAGUCUUGAUGAGUUGGAUGUAGAUAAAAUGGUUCCACUGAAAAAUUUGGGUCUGAAAAUUCCAUCAAGAGAAGAGGCUAGUGUGGUUAAAGCUUACUUGAGUCGUAACGAGGAUAUAAUGGAAAAUACAUUGCAAGUUUUGUACAGGCAACGAGAGGCGUUCAAAGAUACAUAUGAACUUUUUGCGUCUGUGGCGACCAUAGGAUGUAGCACUGCAGUGUGUGAAUCUACGUUUUCAACUUUAACUGCAAUCAAUAGGCCUCAAAGGCUGUCAAUGGGUCACGAGAGAAUGGCUGGUAUGGUAUUUCUGGCCUUUGAAAAAAAAAGAACAAAAUCAGUUGAUCUGAACGAAGUUCUUCGCAUUUUUAAUAACAUGGCGAAUCGUAGAAUUCAGCUGUUUUAAAUGUUUUUUAUUAUUAUGUUAGUUAAUUAUUAUAAUAAGUACGCAAAAACAAUGUGAUCUUAAUGAUA
Long non-coding RNA from Ostrinia nubilalis (European corn borer), 767 nucleotides. RefSeq lists it as uncharacterized. The transcript is spliced from 2 exons. The record is from RefSeq and is a predicted model, not a curated record. Lineage: Eukaryota; Metazoa; Arthropoda; Insecta; Lepidoptera; Crambidae.